AUCCUUUUGUAGUUCAGAAGCGUGAGGAUUGGGUUUUCGGACUCACGUGUGAGAAGUGCCCCCUUCCUCAAACCUUGCUAUGAAGGCAGCACAUUAAGGCACAUUUUUUCUUAAA
This is a small nucleolar RNA of Callithrix jacchus (white-tufted-ear marmoset), 115 nucleotides long. Lineage: Eukaryota; Metazoa; Chordata; Mammalia; Primates; Cebidae. The record is from Ensembl.